Molecule: non-coding RNA, 851 nt
Organism: Aegilops tauschii subsp. strangulata
Lineage: Eukaryota; Viridiplantae; Streptophyta; Magnoliopsida; Poales; Poaceae
Source: RefSeq, a predicted model, not a curated record
UUUUUGUAAUUUGCAAAAGCACCCAAUUAAUGCUCUUAUUUUCCUCAAAAAUUUAUGUUUACCAAUGUAUUAAUUGCAUGCAAUUAUUUAAUGCAUCUUGGAAUCUAAAAUUGUGAUGGGAACAACCAAAUUGAGCCUUAUAAAAUGGAAAAACUAUGAUUUUGAGAUAAGCCCUAUAAACCGGAAAGGAGGGAGUAUUAUCAGUAAUUGAUUUUUCUGGCAAGGGAAUGUUGAGAUGAUAGCUUGAGCCUCCGUGGCCACAUUUUGAAAAUUUGAAAAUUAUAUUUUAAAAAGUGGUAAACUACACACCGACCACCAAAUACAUAUCACAAUUGUAUCUGUUUGAUUCAUUUAGCUGUAUUAUUGUUUUGUUUGUGGAAACUGUCCUUUUCUCCAUUGGCAGACUUUGUACUGACCUUUGUUAAAAGACGGCGUAAGGGCGAGUUGUGGGGAUAUUGACGGCAAUAUCUGCAAGCAGAAAACUACUUCAUUCACCUACGCUUGAACUGGAAUUGCUAAUUAGAAAAUAUGCAUUUCAUGUGUCAUUUUGCCAUUGGGCUAAAUUAUGUUAAUUUUCAUCCGCUUCCCCCUCUCCGACCCCAUCCCACGAGGAGUAAGAUUCUGAGGAUGGAGGAUCUUUCUGCAACGUUCCUGAACUCAUCAAACACGAUCGGUGUUCCGCUUCGAUCUAACCAACAUGGUUAAUGGCAACUAAUGUGUUGUGCUAGGAAUUUGUGCUAUUUUUUUACCUCCCAUUGCAACGAAAAGGGGCAUGCUUACAUUUUACAGUGGAAAAAUAGGUUUUAUUAGGCAAGUGGAAAAAUAGAUGUCUAUAGUAGCUUUAGCUGGUA